GUCACUGUGCCCGUGGCGACGGCCCUCCUGACUCACACACGCUCCCCGCACGCGUCGCUCUGCCCGUGGCGACGGCCUUCCUGACUCACACACACAACCCGCACGCGUCGCUCUGCCCACGGCAACAGUGUUCCUGCCUAUCAUCACAACAGGCGACUCAAGAACGUGACGUCAUGUGGACCCCGUGACCAAAACCAGGCCCAUACUACGCCCGUGAUGUUUCCUCUUUCAGGGUGCUGAGACCUGAGACCACACCUGACCUGCCCGGGGCGGCACAGUGAGGGUGACCUGUACCUCUGCUUUACCUGUGUGUCCUCUCUGAUGAGGAAAAGAGGCAGACCACAGAUGCAAACAGGCUGGGAUGCACUCCUCACAGGCUCUCCUGUGCCCAGCGUGCCUGGUCCCACCUCACCUCACCAGAGGGAUGUGCGGAUGCCAGGUGACUUGGGCACAGCUCCUCAGAGGGCAUUCUGGGAAAAGGCACAGCAACUUACAUGGGAUUUGACUUCCACAUCGUAUACCAAGCUGUCCCAAAGCCCAUGG
This 543-nucleotide long non-coding RNA is filed under the name Homo sapiens (human). Its description in RNAcentral is "HSALNT0324664". The record is from RNAcentral. Lineage: Eukaryota; Metazoa; Chordata; Mammalia; Primates; Hominidae.